Molecule: ribosomal RNA, 494 nt
Filed under: uncultured bacterium
Lineage: Bacteria
Description: bacterial SSU rRNA
Rfam family: Bacterial small subunit ribosomal RNA
Source: RNAcentral
GAUGAACGCUAGCUACAGGCUUAACACAUGCAAGUCGAGGGGAAACGAUAUUGGAAGCUUGCUUCCGAUAGGCGUCGACCGGCGCACGGGUGAGUAACGCGUAUCCAACCUGCCCACCACUUGGGGAUAACCUUGCGAAAGUAAGACUAAUACCCAAUGAUAUCUCUAGAAGACAUCUGAAAGAGAUUAAAGAUUUAUCGGUGAUGGAUGGGGAUGCGUCUGAUUAGCUUGUUGGCGGGGUAAACGGCCCACCAAGGCGACGAUCAGUAGGGGUUCUGAGAGGAAGGUCCCCCACAUUGGAACUGAGACACGGUCCAAACUCCUACGGGAGGCAGCAGUGAGGAAUAUUGGUCAAUGGACGAGAGUCUGAACCAGCCAAGUAGCGUGCAGGAUGACGGCCCUAUGGGUUGUAAAACUGCUUUUAUAAGGGAAUAAAGUGAGAGUCGUGACUCUUUUUGCANGUACCUUAUGAAUAAGGACCGGCUAAUUCCGUG